UUUUAGUCAAUGCCCUCCACUUUCGAAAUGCUUCCGCGACCUCUUAGUAGUAACCUUAGUAAUUAUAUGUUUAAUGUGAAGUCUGUAUUAGAUUUCAUCAUCACUGUUGUAGGUCUUCUAUGUUUGUGUAAAUGCUGUAUUGAAAAGUGGCAUGUAUGCACAUCCUCCAUUUUAAUUCUUCUUUGUAUGUAACGUCAUUUGUGUUUGUCCUUAAAAUACAUUCUUUUCCAAUGAAGUUUGCAAUAUACUUCCCUGCCCAAGGGAACUUCAUACUAUCCUAGAAAAGUAAUAUCUUUCAUACCAAGAAAGAUAAAAAUAUAAGAAUUUUCUGUAGAAUAAUUCGUAAUUAGCAAAUUAAAACGUGUAUUAUAUUUAAAUGCAAUAUGAUAAGAACCGUCGAAGGGGAGAGACAAUAUAUCAUUUAGUCGACGCAAAUCAUAUAUCACAAAUAAAAGUUGAAUUUAGUGCGAUUGCAAGUAAACUACAAAUGUAAAAGGAAAUAAAAUUCUAAUAGUUGUAAACGAAGUUCACUUAUAAUAAACGU
Non-coding RNA from Paramuricea clavata, 544 nucleotides. NCBI's taxonomy places the organism in Eukaryota, Metazoa, Cnidaria, Anthozoa, Malacalcyonacea, Plexauridae. The record is from the annotation of a GenBank genome assembly.